Molecule: ribosomal RNA, 1172 nt
Filed under: uncultured Bacteroides sp.
Lineage: Bacteria; Pseudomonadati; Bacteroidota; Bacteroidia; Bacteroidales; Bacteroidaceae
Description: bacterial SSU rRNA
Rfam family: Bacterial small subunit ribosomal RNA
Source: RNAcentral
AGUUUGAUCCUGGCUCAGGAUGAACGCUAGCUACAGGCUUAACACAUGCAAGUCGAGGGGCAGCAUCAUCAAAGCUUGCUUUGAUGGAUGGCGACCGGCGCACGGGUGAGUAACACGUAUCCAACCCGCCGACAACACUGGGAUAGCCUUUCGAAAGAAAGAUUAAUACCGGAUGGCAUAGUUUUCCCGCAUGGGAUAAUUAUUAAAGAAUUUCGGUUGUCGAUGGGGAUGCGUUCCAUUAGGCAGUUGGCGGGGUAACGGCCCACCAAACCAACGAUGGAUAGGGGUUCUGAGAGGAAGGUCCCCCACAUUGGAACUGAGACACGGUCCAAACUCCUACGGGAGGCAGCAGUGAGGAAUAUUGGUCAAUGGACGAGAGUCUGAACCAGCCCAAGUAGCGUGAAGGAUGACUGCCCUAUGGGUUGUAAACUUCUUUUAUACGGGAAUAAAGUUAGCCACGUGUGGCUUUUUGUAUGUACCGUAUGAAUAAGGAUCGGCUAACUCCGUGCCAGCAGCCGCGGUAAUACGGAGGAUCCGAGCGUUAUCCGGAUUUAUUGGGUUUAAGGGGAGCGUAGGCGGGUUGUUAAGCCAGUUGUGAAAGUUUGCGGCUCAACCGUAAAAUUGCAGUUGAUACUGGCGACCUUGAGUGCAACAGAGGUAGGCGGAAUUCGUGGUGUAGCGGUGAAAUGCUUAGAUAUCACGAAGAACUCCGAUUGCGAAGGCAGCUUACUGGAUUGUAACUGACGCUGAUGCUCGAAAGUGUGGGUAUCAAACAGGAUUAGAUACCCUGGUAGUCCACACAGUAAACGAUGAAUACUCGCUGUUGGCGAUAUACUGUCAGCGGCCAAGCGAAAGCAUUAAGUAUUCCACCUGGGGAGUACGCCGGCAACGGUGAAACUCAAAGGAAUUGACGGGGGCCCGCACAAGCGGAGGAACAUGUGGUUUAAUUCGAUGAUACGCGAGGAACCUUACCCGGGCUUAAAUUGCAACUGACUGAAUCGGAAACGGUUCUUUCUUCGGACAGUUGUGAAGGUGCUGCAUGGUUGUCGUCAGCUCGUGCCGUGAGGUGUCGGCUUAAGUGCCAUAACGGGCGCAACCCUUACGGGUAGUUACCAUCAGGUUAUGCUGGGGACUCUACCCGGACUGCCGUCGUAAGAUGUGAGGAAGGUGGA